Astyanax mexicanus (Mexican tetra) is the source of this 1825-nucleotide long non-coding RNA. RefSeq lists it as uncharacterized. The transcript has 2 exons. Lineage: Eukaryota; Metazoa; Chordata; Actinopteri; Characiformes; Acestrorhamphidae. The record is from RefSeq and is a predicted model, not a curated record.
UUUUUCUCGAUUGUUUACACACAAAUAUUGGUACUUGAAACACAAUGACCACAAAAUGUAACUCAUGCACCAACCCCCUGAACCAAUUCUGCUAAACUACAAGCACAAUUCCUGCUUUACACUCAAAUUGCAGUUCUAAAACACACUUUUUCCAAAACUCUACACACAAUUGUCAUGAAGAAAAUCUCUUGUUUUCACAAGGAACACACUGUUAUUCAAAACUCUAAAGUUAAUUGCCCUACUAUGCACACUGGCUCCUCACAUGGGCAAACACCUAACACACACGUUUCCACUCAGCAAUCAGAGCUUUAGCAUAAAAGGGCAACAGGUGAGCUCUUCUGUUUUGGAGCAAUGGAGGCCAAUGUUGUAAACAGAGGCAGAGCCAGAGCCAGAGGAGUGAGAGUAAGAGGAGGACGAUGGGGAGGACGAGGACGAGGAAGGCCAAGGACAAUCAUUUCUGAUGAGAUCCGAGCCACUUUGGUUGACCAUGUGGUCAACCAUGGCCUAACAAUGAGGGAGGCUGGGCAAAGAGUACAGCCAAAUUUGAGCAGGUACACUGUAGCAUCCAUCAUCCGGACUUUCCGCAAUGAGAAUAGAACUGAAAGAUUACCAACAAGAGGUGGACGGGGCCGUCUUCUGUCUCCUGAACAGAAAACAGAGAUCAUGAACAUGGUUCUUGAAAAUAACGCCAUUACCUUACGGCAAAUACAAAGAAAAAUAAUAGAAAACAAUGAGAUAUUUCAAAAUAUUGAUAGGGUAAGUUUAUCAACGCUGGACCGUGUCUUGCACAGAAAUAAACUGAGGAUGAAGCAGGUCUACAGGGUGCCGUUUGAGCGCAAUUCAGAAAGAGUCAAAGAAUUGCGAUAAAACUAUGUGCAAGUACGUCCUAUACAUUCCCACCCUUGAUGCAUACUGUCAACAUUGUAUAAAUCAUACAUAUUUCUUUCUAUUAUAUUGUAAUCAUAAUGAUUGUGCUUCACAAUAGUGACCGCUCCAUGUCUACUUCUGAUAUUGUCAUGUGUGUUUCAGAGAGUCCUUGAGCUGGAGGUGGAUGCAGUGGAGCACCAGUUCAUCUUCAUUGAUGAGGUUGGAUUCAACCUCACAAAAAGACGAAGGAGGGGAAGGAAUAUAAUCGGCCAGCGUGCCAUUGUUGAAGUCCCUGGCCAGCGCGGAGGGAACAUCACAAUGUGUGCAGCGAUGACCCACCAUGGCAUCAUCCAUCACCAUGCUACCCUUGGCCCCUACAACACUGCCCAUCUGAUCACAUUCCUGGACACCCUACACAACACACUCAUUCCACCAGAUCAGAUAGACGGCCCAGAGCAGCUCAGGUACGUUGUCAUUUGGGACAACGUAAGCUUCCACCGGGCUGCUCUGGUUCAUAACUGGUUCACUGACCACCCACGCUUUUCAGUUGUUUAUCUCCCUCCAUAUUCUCCAUUCCUCAAUCCUAUUGAGGAAUUUUUUUCUGCCUGGAGAUGGAAAGUGUACGACCUAAAUUCAGAAACGCGUAUACCCCUUUUCCAAGCUAUGGAAGACGCAUGUGGAGAUAUAGCAGUUGAUGCUUUUCAUGGCUGGAUUCGCCAUGCUAGGCGAUAUUUCCCCCGCUGCUUGGCCAGGGAAAACAUUGCUUGUGAUGUAGAUGAGGUGCUGUGGCCAGACCGAAACAGAAGAGAGGAUGCAGCAUAGUUUAUUUUGUUUUGUUUUUUUUAUUAUUAACUGUAUACAGUAAAAUCUUCUGCACUGUAUGUGCAACUUUGUGUCGGUUGGGAUGUACACUGUGUACAUUGUUUUGUGGGAAAAAUAAAACAUGUUUGUUACAGUA